CCCUCCUUUAGAUAUUGAAAGGCUGCUACUUCUCGGGAGGUGCACUGUGUUGUCUGCCUUAACAAGAAUUGCAUUCAGAAGAUCCUUUCAGUUAACUAACACUGUUAGCAGAUUUGGACUACUCCUGGAUAUGGGGCAGUUCUCAGUCCAUGAACAAGAAGAGUCCUCAGCAGGGCUGGAAGCAGAGGGCUACAGGGAGAUCUGUGGGCAGAUUAAUCACCCAAGCUCUCAGGUCAACGUGAUGGAGCUGAUCUUGUUAGCGUCUUCCUCAGCAUCAGAAGAAAAAUCUGAAAAUCAUCAGAUGAGGAGGAGACUGAAACAAAGUCUCCAUGAAGAUGGAUGGCUUUUCCUGGUAGGUUUAAACAGAACAGGAAUAAAGGGAGGCAGCUGUACUACCACCUGCAGAUAUCACAUUAAAAGAAAACAGUGAAUCCAUGUUGGCAUUUCCUACCAAUUUCCUGUAAUUGAAUUAGAUAUUCAUUGGAUUUUGUUAGUAAGCAAUGUAGGUAAUUUUAAAAGACUGUGGGAAAACUAUAUAUGUUAUUAAAUCAAGUCUACAUCAUGUAGGAAUCUUUUGUAGUUUUGGGACACUUGAUAUUUGACCCAGAUCCAUUAAAUUGAAUUAUUACAUUAGAAAAUCUUCAGAGUAUAAUCUCUGAGACAGAGUUCUCUCCAGUCACUCUCUAUAAUUACAGCAUGGCAUCAGGAGUGAAGGUUGAAAAAGAAGAGUGACUUAAGAAACAGUGGAAUAGAAGAGGAAUAAUUGGACAAUGUGGAACAUGAAUUUAAAAUCUAAAGAGGCUGAAACUCUGCAAGAGUACUGCAAAUGACUGAAAAGGUUCAAGGAAGAUAAUUGUAUCUUUGUGAAGCCAAGGGGAAGUCCUGAACAGAGAAAUGGAAAAGGCAGGUUUUCUCAUUUUAAUAUUGCAGGGUAUGGGAUUAAUUUAAUGAUAAAGAGAUAAAUUAUAAAGAGCAAGCUAUGCAACGCACUAUGUUACUGAAAUGUAUCAAACUUCACAAUCCAAGAAGUGGGUUAACUUAGUACGUAUUUAAGAAUGUUGAGACAAAUGCACUGUUUUGGGAGCUUUGACAAAUCUUUUACUUAAGAUAAGACUGUAUUGGAUAUCAGAAAUCUGUCAAAAACUGUAAGAAACACAUGACUAAGAAAAAAAGAGCAUUAGAUCUACAUCAAGGACUGAAACUACAUAAGAUGUAGAAGAGUUAAAAAGAAGAGUCAUUUCUGAGAACAGUGCAUAUUUCAACAACGUCCUUUGAUUAAUCUGAACAUUAGAAAAGUCCUUGUUUCAUAUACACAAUGCUCAUGGACAAGCUAACAUGGUAUCUAAAAGUACAAUAAACAACUUUAAAGGUAGAGCA
RNAcentral lists this long non-coding RNA (1377 nucleotides) under Numida meleagris (helmeted guineafowl). Its description in RNAcentral is "lncRNA (ENSNMEG00000001859.1)". Lineage: Eukaryota; Metazoa; Chordata; Aves; Galliformes; Numididae. The record is from RNAcentral.